CAAUAGCGUAUAUUAAAGUUGUUGCAGUUAAAAAGCUCGUAGUUGAAUUUUUGCUUGCCGCCGAUGUCGGAACUUCCGUACGUUCGGCGGCGUGCAUCCUUGGGUGGAACCUGUGUGGCAUUAGGUUGUCGUGCAGGGGAUGCUCAUCGUUUACUGUGAAAAAAUUAGAGUGUUCAAAGCAGGCUUACGCCGUUGAAUAUAUUAGCAUGGAAUAAUAAGAUAGGACCUUGGUACUAUUUUGUUGGUUUGCGCACCGAGGUAAUGAUUAACAGGGACAGUUGGGGGUAUUCGUAUUCCAUUGUCAGAGGUGAAAUUCUUGGAUUUCUGGAAGACGAACUACUGCGAAAGCAUCUACCAAGGAUGUUUNCAUUAA
RNAcentral lists this ribosomal RNA (373 nucleotides) under uncultured eukaryote. RNAcentral's name for it is "partial 18S ribosomal RNA". It matches the Rfam family "Eukaryotic small subunit ribosomal RNA", at positions 592 to 976 of the family's 1831-position model. The record is from RNAcentral.